Molecule: non-coding RNA, 155 nt
Organism: Cinara cedri
Lineage: Eukaryota; Metazoa; Arthropoda; Insecta; Hemiptera; Aphididae
Source: the annotation of a GenBank genome assembly
CGGAUAUGAAUGCGUGAUGCAUCACGGUUUUCACAACAUUAUAUAUGUUACAAAAUGGUCAUUUUGAAAAUUGUCUAAAGUGAAUUAAAUAAAAAGUUUUUUUUGCGUGUGUGUGUGUGUGUGUGUGUUUAAAGGACGAAAAUUAUCCGCUCCGA